Molecule: small RNA, 678 nt
Filed under: Pan troglodytes (chimpanzee)
Lineage: Eukaryota; Metazoa; Chordata; Mammalia; Primates; Hominidae
Description: retained intron
Source: RNAcentral
GGUGUCUGCAGCCCAGGCAGGCCUGCUCCGGCAGCAGGAAGAACUGGACAGGAAAGCUGCCGAGCUGGAACGCAAGGAGCGGGAGCUGCAGAACACUGUAGCCAACUUGCAUGUGAGACAGAACAACUGGCCCCCCCUGCCCUCGUGGUGCCCUGUGAAGCCCUGCUUCUAUCAGGAUUUCUCCACAGAGAUCCCUGCCGACUACCAGCGGAUAUGCAAGAUGCUCUACUAUCUGUGGAUGUUGCAUUCAGUGACUCUGUUUCUGAACCUGCUUGCCUGCCUGGCCUGGUUCUCGGGCAACAGCUCCAAGGGAGUGGACUUUGGCCUCUCCAUCCUGUGGUUUCUGAUCUUCACUCCCUGUGCCUUCCUUUGUUGGUACCGACCCAUCUAUAAGGCCUUUAGGUCCGACAACUCUUUCAGCUUCUUUGUGUUCUUCUUUGUAUUUUUUUGUCAAAUAGGGAUCUACAUCAUCCAGUUGGUUGGCAUCCCUGGCCUGGGGGACAGGUGAGACCUGGGCAUCACAGAGGGAAUUAGGCUUUGGAUAUGGGACUCAGCCUCUCUUGCCCUGUUUUCUAGCUCCCACAGAGCCCCGCCAGUGCCCUGCUUUUCCCAUGGCGGGGAGUGAGUGAGUGGGCCAGCUCGGAUCUGCUUUGGGCCUUCUCUCCAGUUCUUCAUCAG